Molecule: small RNA, 705 nt
Filed under: Pan troglodytes (chimpanzee)
Lineage: Eukaryota; Metazoa; Chordata; Mammalia; Primates; Hominidae
Description: retained intron
Source: RNAcentral
GACAGAUGGCAUUGUCAACCAAUCCCCAAGUGGGAGUGAGGACAUGUCCUGCAAUUCUGAAGGGAUUCUCUGUCACUUGGCUCUUCUCUUUCAUAUACUCAGUCACUUGACUCUGUGAUCAGAGCCAAAUCCAGGGUUGUAUGAGUGAUGCAAUGAGACAGAGACAAAGCCCAGGAAAUGGGUCUGACCGUUGAAUGAGAGUGUUUGCUAAGUCUGAGAAUGACAAACUCCUCCCUCUCAGGGGCACCACCACGAGGCGAUUUGUGGGCCAUACCAAGGAUGUGCUGAGUGUGGCCUUCUCCUCUGACAACCGGCAGAUUGUCUCUGGAUCUCGAGAUAAAACCAUCAAGCUAUGGAAUACCCUGGGUGUGUGCAAAUACACUGUCCAGGCUGGAGUGCAGUAGUGCGAUCUCGGCUCACUGCAAGCUCUGCCUCCCGGGUUCACGCCAUUCUCCUGCCUCAGCCUCCCGAGUCGCUGGGACUACAGGCGCCUGCCAUCAGGAUGAGAGCCACUCAGAGUGGGUGUCUUGUGUCCGCUUCUCGCCCAACAGCAGCAACCCUAUCAUCGUCUCCUGUGGCUGGGACAAGCUGGUCAAGGUAUGGAACCUGGCUAACUGCAAGCUGAAGACCAACCACAUUGGCCACACAGGCUAUCUGAACACGGUGACUGUCUCUCCAGAUGGAUCCCUCUGUGCUUCUGGAGGC